CGUGUAGGCGGCCGGCCGGGUCCCCUGUGAAAGCCCGGGGCUCAGCUCCGGAAGUGCAUCGGAAACUAGCCGGCUAGAGCGCGGUAGAGGAGGGCGGAAUUCCUGGUGUAGCGGUGAAAUGCGUAGAUAUCAGGAGGAACACCGGCGGCGAAGGCGGCCCUCUGGACCGUUGCUGACGCUGAUACGCGAAAGCGUGGGGAGCAAACAGGAUUAGAUACCCUGGUAGUCCACGCUGUAAACGAUGGGUACUAGAUGUUCGGGGUAUUGACCCCCUGAGUGUCGAAGCUAACGCAUUAAGUACCCCGCCUGGGGACUACGGCCGCAAGGCUAAA
This 332-nucleotide ribosomal RNA is filed under the name uncultured bacterium. RNAcentral describes it as "bacterial SSU rRNA". It matches the Rfam family "Bacterial small subunit ribosomal RNA", at positions 568 to 898 of the family's 1533-position model. The record is from RNAcentral.